CCUUGUACACACCGCCCGUCACGUCAUGAAAGUGGGAAACGCCUGAAGUCGGUGUGCCAACCGUAAGGGGGCAGCUGCCGAGGGUGGAGCCCGCGAUUGGGACG
RNAcentral lists this ribosomal RNA (104 nucleotides) under uncultured bacterium. RNAcentral's name for it is "partial 16S ribosomal RNA". It matches the Rfam family "Bacterial small subunit ribosomal RNA", at positions 1379 to 1482 of the family's 1533-position model. The record is from RNAcentral.